AAAAACGACUCUCGGCAACGGAUAUCUUGGCUCUCGCAUCGAUGAAGAACGUAGCGAAAUGCGAUACUUGGUGUGAAUUGCAGAAUCCCGUGAACCAUCGAGUCUUUGAACGCAAGUUGCGCCCGAAGCCAUUUGGCUAAGGGCACGUCUGCCUGGGCGUCACGCA
Molecule: ribosomal RNA, 166 nt
Filed under: Kopsiopsis hookeri
Lineage: Eukaryota; Viridiplantae; Streptophyta; Magnoliopsida; Lamiales; Orobanchaceae
Also listed under: 1 other name
Description: 5.8S ribosomal RNA
Rfam family: 5.8S ribosomal RNA
About the family: 5.8S ribosomal RNA (5.8S rRNA) is a component of the large subunit of the eukaryotic ribosome. It is transcribed by RNA polymerase I as part of the 45S precursor that also contains 18S and 28S rRNA.
Source: RNAcentral